CCUGGUGACUAUACCGCGGGGGUCACACCUCUUCCCAUUCCGAACAGAGAAGUUAAGCCCCGUCGGGCCGAUGGUACUGCUUCUUUCAGAUGUGGGAGAGUAGGUCGUUGCCAGGC
This 116-nucleotide ribosomal RNA is filed under the name Ignavibacteria bacterium. The record is from RNAcentral. Lineage: Bacteria; Pseudomonadati; Ignavibacteriota; Ignavibacteria.